GCGGGGUAGCUCAGCUGGUUAGAGCGCACGACUCAUAAUCGUGAGGUCGCGGGUUCGAGUCCCGCCCCCG
RNAcentral lists this transfer RNA (70 nucleotides) under human gut metagenome. It matches the Rfam family "tRNA". Rfam says of the family: Transfer RNA (tRNA) molecules are approximately 80 nucleotides in length. Their secondary structure includes four short double-helical elements and three loops (D, anti-codon, and T loops). The record is from RNAcentral.